This 232-nucleotide transfer RNA is filed under the name Marmota monax (woodchuck). RNAcentral describes it as "tRNA.Ala". The record is from RNAcentral. Lineage: Eukaryota; Metazoa; Chordata; Mammalia; Rodentia; Sciuridae.
UGGGGUUUGGCUCAGUGGUAGAGCACUUGCCUAGCACAUGUGAAGCACUGGAUUUGAUUCUCAACACCACAUAUAAAUAAAUGAAAUAAAGGCCCAAUGAUAACUAAAGAAUAUUUUUUAAAAAUUAACUAUAAAAAAUUAAAAUUAGAGCUGGGUGAGGUGGUGGACACUUGUAAUCCCAGCAGCUCAGGAGACUAAGGCAGGAUGUUUGCAAGUUCAAAACCAGCCUCAG